RNAcentral lists this long non-coding RNA (614 nucleotides) under Homo sapiens (human). Its description in RNAcentral is "non-protein coding lnc-ARG2-1:2". The record is from RNAcentral. Lineage: Eukaryota; Metazoa; Chordata; Mammalia; Primates; Hominidae.
AUAGGCAAAGGAGAUCUUAAAAAGCCAAGAGGCAAAAUGCCAUCGUAUGUAUUUUGUGUGCAAACUUGUCCGGAGGAGCGUAAGAAGAAACACCCAGAUGCUUCAGUCAACUUCUCAGAGUUUUCUAAGAAGUGCUUAGUGAGGGGGAAGACCAUGUCUGCUAAAGAGAAAGGACAAUUUGAAGCUAUGGCAAGGGCAGACAAGGCCCGUUACGAAAGAGAAAUGAAAACAUAUAUCCCUCCUAAAGGGGAGACAAAAAAAGUUUAAGGAUCCCAAUGCACCCCAGAGGUCUCCUUCAGCCUUUUUCUUGUUCUGUUCUGCGUGUGGCCCAAAAGUCAAAAGAGAACAUUCUGGCCUGUCCAUUGGUGAUUCGGCGAAGAAACUGGGAGGGAUGUGGAAUAACACUGCUGCAGAUGACAAGCAGCCUUAAAAAGAAGUCUGCAAAGCUGAAGGAAAAAUACAGAAAGGAUACUGCUACAUAUUGAGCUAAAGGAAAGUCUGAUGCAGCCAAAAAGGGAGUUGUUGAGGCUGAAAAAAGCAAGAAAAAGAAAGAAGAGGAAGAAGAGGGAGAGAAUGAGGAGGAGGAAAAUGAAGAAGAUGGUGAUGAUGAAUAA